AUGAAACUAAGAUUUACAAUUUACAUUUGUGUUUAUAUGUUUUUUUCGAAAGGUUUUUCGAGUUUAAGGGUACAAAAUGAAACAAAAAAAAAUGAAAUCACUAAUGGAGAAAAUAAACAAAGAAAAGUAAGAAAAAAUAAUUACAGUUCUUUAAAAAAAAAAAUGAAAUUAGAAAAUGAAAACGUUUCGAAUACAAAUAAAAGCUCUUUACAUGAUAAAAAGACAGCUAUUAGUAGUAUAGACGAAUUAAAUAAAGUGUUAGUCGCAGAUGAAGAACAUAUAAACAGUGAGUAUAAAAGAUGUAUAGAUGUCGUAGAAAAAGAAUUAAGUGAUGAAAAGAAUAAUGAUGAUAUUAAAAAAAUAAAAGAAGAAAUGGAAAAGUUAUGUUUAUUAAAAAAAAAACAAGAUGAAAAAGAAGAAAUAAAAAAAAAAAAUAAAGAAGAAAUCAAAAUAAUGAAAGCAGAAAUAGAGAAAGAAAGUAGUAUAUUUACAGAUAAAGAAAAAAAAGAAAAAGAAAUUAUAUCACGUUUAGGAUUAUCAAAUAAAAUUCUCACAUUACCUGAAACUUUAAAUGAUUUAUUAUCAGAAGUCAAAAAUUGUGAAAGAGAUUAUACAGAAAAAUGUCCAAUGAAUUGGAAAAUAAAUGAAAAUGAUAAUACAUAUUGCAAUGCACCUGAUUCUUAUGUAGGGUCAUGUGAAAAACAAAUAAAAAAUAAGAUCGAUAUAAGUGAAAAAAUACAAAUUGAAAAAAAGUGUUUCAUAUUUUGGCCAUGUAACAAAAAUUGUAUUCAAGAUUUUGAAAACUCUAAGUGUCCCAUAGAUUGGAUUUUAACAGAAGAUAAUUUUUGUAUAGCUCCCCAGGAGUAUAUAGGAAGUUGUUUAAAAAAAAUAAAUUUUAUAAAAAUGAAUAACAAAGAAAAAGCUAUAUAUUCUAAUUUAUGCAAUGUUCGAUGGCCUUGCAAAGAAACAUGUAAACGUGAUUACUCAGUUUUAUGCCCAGAGGGCUGGAUUGCAGGAAGUAAUGGAUAUUGUUUAGCAACAAAUGCGUAUGAAGGUAUCUGUGAAAAAAGGAUGUAUUUAAAAGAUACAGAUAAAACGUUGAAACAAAUGUAUGAACAAAAAUGUCAAUUCAAUUACCCUUGUAUAAAUUCAUGUGAAAAAAAUUAUGAUGACUUGUGUCCUAAUUUGUGGUUUCUCAUUAAUGAUAAUGAAUGUGCACCAAAUGAAAGUUAUACUGGAAAUUGUAAAGAAAAUUAUAUUUUAAAAAAUAAAACUAUCGAAGAAAAAAAACUGUUUGAAGAAAUGUGUGAUGUAUCUUAUCCCUGCUUACAAACAUGUAAAAGAGAUUAUUCAUAUAAUUGCCCAAUAGGAUGGAAAGAAACGUUAAGCUAUUGUUUAGCACCACCAUCUUAUAAACACAUAUGUAAAAAAAUUAUGAGAACAAAUAUGACUGAAAAAGAAAAAUUAGAAAUAAGUACAAAUUGUCAUGUCUUCUGGCCUUGUUCCAAUUAUGAAAUUCUUUUAAAAAAAUUAAUUUAUAAUACUUUAACAGAAGAGGAUUAUAUGUAUAUCGUCAAUGGACCGGUUGAUAAUGCAACCGGGUCGGUAAUUCAUGUAUAA
Piliocolobus tephrosceles (Ugandan red Colobus) is the source of this 1620-nucleotide long non-coding RNA. Lineage: Eukaryota; Metazoa; Chordata; Mammalia; Primates; Cercopithecidae. The record is from Ensembl.